Junco hyemalis (dark-eyed junco) is the source of this 2726-nucleotide long non-coding RNA. NCBI's taxonomy places the organism in Eukaryota, Metazoa, Chordata, Aves, Passeriformes, Passerellidae. The record is from Ensembl.
GGAAGAAUCUUCCCAAGUUUGAUAGUGCUCUCUUUUGAACCAUGUUUUUUUUUUUCAGAUUCAAUCAAGAAAUUGAAGUUUAAUUCGAUUUUACAACUGAAGAGUUUAACCCCCAAGAUAGCUUCGUUUCCCGCUACCAGAUUCAGAGUUCCAAGUGCAGCAGAUAAAGAGCUGGAAAAAAAAAUUCAUCCAUGAUCAGUCAAGAACAUUUUCCAGCUUUUACUAAUCUCUUAAAAUAAAACUAAAAAAACCGGAAAGUUUUAGCAAAAGAAGGAAGGAAACAUGGAACAUUUGAAGGCCCACUGACUGCAUAUGAGAAGAUAGCAGAGAAAAGCAGCAACCAUCAUAUGCCUUAAGAAAAUGCUAGCAUUAAACACAGCCAUGUUUUCCUCUAGAAGAUGCACAAGUCCCAAGAAAGACAGUCUGCAACUUGCAUGCAGCUGUGACAGAUUGCUGUGUAAGUGAUCUGUGCAAGACUAAGAACUUUCCUUCACAGCAAGUCUAACAACAUUUUAAAAAAUGCCUUUAUAUCUGUAAAGGAAAAAGAAGAAGGUGGGGGUGAAGCUGCCUCAUAAGGUUUUCAGAGAGCUCUUACCCAUAGAAAUAAUGAAUGUAUUUUCAAAUCUGUGUACAGAUGUUUCACAAGGAGCUACAGCUUUCUGCGGUGGAGUACAGCAAUGCCUCACUCAGGUGCACAGUAUUAACCUGCUGCCAUGAAGGUGGUCUGGGAUCUCACCUCUCAGCUGAGGACUUCCAGCCACAGGAGUUUCUCAGGAGAGCACUUCAGCUGCAAGUGGAAGGGAAGAUAGAGCUCCUGAAGCCACCUCAGGAUUUCUACUUGGAAGCCUAGUAACAAAACACUGAAGUGAAAAUAAUUAGAAAUAUUUGGGAUUUAGUGUCAAAGUUUCUCAAAACACUGAAGUGAAAAUAAUUGGAAGUAUUUGGGAUUUAGUGUCAAAGUUUCUCAAUUGAGGCAUCUCAAAUAUAUCCAUUGAAAACAUCCUCCUGUCCAUUACUGUCCAGGUACUGUUCAGUGUUUCUGAUCAAAUGAUGUAUUAGUUGGUCUGAGGCUGUUGAAACAUCACUUCUAAUAGGUCAUAGCAUCCUUUAUAAAUAAUUUGGUUUCUGUAGAAUUUCCCAUUGCUUUCUUAACUCUGAGAUAAUUUACAGACAAUUUUGUCUUUUCUGAAAAAUAUUUAAAAACUGUGGCUCUUGUUUUGAAUCAUGAUUGAAGUUUAAACCAUAUUUUUAUGGAGAGAGACAAAACUUCUCUCCACCAACACUUUAAAUAUGUUAGGGAUCACUGUUUUCCUCUGGUAUCUCUGAGUCAGAACAUUCACGAUGUUAGGAAAAUUAAUUUUUUGGAGAAGGACUCAAGGGUAAGAUUUUAUUCUGUUUGCACCCUUCAGGUUGUUUCUGCAAGGCUCUCUGAAGAAUGAGCACUUGUCUUCUCUGUCCUUCAGGACAGCUGGUUGAUAUCCAUAAGGCUUUCUGGAGCUCUGCUUCCUCUUGGAAGGAAAUCUGGAAUUCUGUGUAUUUAGUUGUUUUCUUCUAUAUUCUUGAGGUUUUUUUACUGGAAAGUUUAAGCUAAAAAUGUAUCAAAAUUCUGUGGUGAAACUUAGGCAUGAGAAUCCAAUUCAAUAACUUAAUUUCUGCUUAAAAUUUCUUUAUCCAGUGCCAUUGAUCUUAUCACAAUGAGUUUGGUCAGUAAAGCUGUGAAUAUGCUUUCUGUAGCUGAAGGCAGGUGGGAAAUGGAGUUUGUGGGGGCUGAAUUAUCCUGGUUUUCUACAGUUCUUGGGGAAUUGUAGGUAUUUAGCACCCCUGAUUACCAGGUAACUUAUUUAGAUGUUUAAUUGUAGGCAGUCAGGAUGAAUUUUGAGUUAUUUUUCUUCCUUGAGUUUGGAUAUUAGUGAGGAGAGGGUGGCAUUUUAUGUCUUGUAAGAUGUAAAAGCAUGGAGGGAAAGAGCUGGUUUGAGGCUGCAUGGCAGGAUAUGCCUGGAAGGAAUGGGGUUAAAGCUAAGCAGAGUAGUAUGCCUGCCCCAUAGGAGAAAAAAUCUUGCAAACAAGAUGCAUUUGUCUGUAAGAGUGUUUUCCAAGACAACCAAAGAAAAUGCUAACAUGCGUGGACUUUCAAAAGUACUCUGUAAAAAAAAAAAAAAAGAAAAAAGCAGUUGCUAGACCAUGGGUAGAAACAAUUUUCAUCUCUGAUAUUGUCUGUGAAUAUUUGGUGUGAAACACGGUGAUUUUGCUUGAAAAUACAUGGGGCAGCCAAAAGCUUGUAGCCACUUGUGCCUUGCUGAGAGAUCAGCUUCCAUAAAACAGAGCUCCUUUAAAGGAGGUGCCACGCUGUCAGCACAUCUGUCUCGGCAAGGGGAGGAAGCACUGGAGGGGGGGAAUGCUGUUCAUUAAUUGCAUCAUAUUGAGCUUCCAGGCAGACUUGAGACGGCCAAAAGGUGGAGAUUUUUAGGUUCCUCCCCCUACUUUUCUAUCUCCUCCCCCCUUCCCAAAAAUAAGUGUUUUGCCAAAACCUCCUUGUGGCAGAGCAAGGCUUUUAAAAGGAAAGUCAGGAACGAAGCAAGAAUUUUGGAGACUAGGUUAAUUCCAGUCCUUUCUUUUCUGAAAGGAAGACUUGUAAUGUGUGCAGUCUGUCAAGUCACUGCUUCUCAAGGUGAAAAUCCAAAAAAAAGUUAAACAUAUAAAUAAUAAUAAAAUAAGUUCACAAGUCA